UUGGUGACCCAGAAGAAGUUGA
Molecule: microRNA, 22 nt
Filed under: Glycine max (soybean)
Lineage: Eukaryota; Viridiplantae; Streptophyta; Magnoliopsida; Fabales; Fabaceae
Description: gma-miR5679
Source: miRBase by way of RNAcentral